Molecule: ribosomal RNA, 484 nt
Filed under: uncultured crenarchaeote
Lineage: Archaea; Thermoproteati; Thermoproteota
Description: partial 16S ribosomal RNA
Source: RNAcentral
GGUGGCUCGCUUCACGGCUUCCCUGCGGCACCAGACACGGUCGCGCCAUGCCUGACACCUNGCGAGCAUCGUUUACGGCUGGGACUACCCGGGUAUCUAAUCCGGUUCGUGCCCCCAGCUUUCGUCCCUCACCGUCGAACCCGUUCUGGUAAGACGCCUUCGCCACAGGUGGUCCCACAGGGAUUACAAGAUUUCACUCCUACCCCUGUAGUACCUCUUACCUCUCCCGGUUCCAAGUCUGGCAGUAUCCCCCGAAAGCCUAAUAGUUAAGCUAUCAGAUUUCCCGGAGGACUGACCAAACCGGCUACGGACCCUUUAGACCCAAUAAUCACGAUCACCACUCGGGCCGCCGGUGUUACCGCGGCGGCUGGCACCGGUCUUGCCCGGCCCUUGCUAACAGGUGUAUUUUACACACCCGGACAGCCAGCAUAUGAUGCUGGCACUCGGUGUCCCCUUAUCACGGUUUCCCGCAUUGUAAAGUUUU